AUAAUUUCAAGUACUGAACACUUUAGCAAGGGAGUUCAUAAGUUUAUUAACCUUUCAAAUAAAUAGUGCAAGUAUAGCCACCUCUUACAGUUCAUUUGUCUUCAGUCUGUUAACUUGCCCUUAAAUCCAUCUGGUACAUCUCCCUGAUGAAGGCAGCACACUUGCACUCUACUUCAGACAGCGUAAUAAAACUUAAAACACAGAUUAAAAUAUUGUCCUAUCAUAGUUUGUUUUAAUUACAUCCUGUGUAUAUUACAUUUUCAGAAUGUUGCUCAGCAGCAGGAAAUACAUCAUCAGUUUUGCUCUUUCCCUUUGUGAUGCAAGAAGCAGUGUCACCUUCUGCCUAUUUUUGUUGCUCAUGACUAAAGAGAUGGGAAUUACCGCUGCACUUCUGUUCCUUGUUCCCAGUCUGAGGGGUGUCUGGCAGAAGUGCUGAAUGAUCAUCAGGAAGACUCCCAGAUUUGAAAUGAGGACUGAACUGAAUCAGAUGAUUGCGAAGUACACCAACAGCCU
RNAcentral lists this long non-coding RNA (513 nucleotides) under Gallus gallus (chicken). RNAcentral's name for it is "long non-coding RNA NONGGAT008889". Lineage: Eukaryota; Metazoa; Chordata; Aves; Galliformes; Phasianidae. The record is from RNAcentral.